Long non-coding RNA from Gossypium arboreum, 461 nucleotides. RefSeq lists it as uncharacterized. Lineage: Eukaryota; Viridiplantae; Streptophyta; Magnoliopsida; Malvales; Malvaceae. The transcript is spliced from 3 exons. The record is from RefSeq and is a predicted model, not a curated record.
AUAAAGAAAAAGUUGUCAUUUGCUCUUUCAUUUUUUCUCUUCUCCUCCACCGAAAUAUGCAGCAAAGAAAGGGUUUUGAAGCUGGAAAAUUUCAGCAACAUAUUUCCCUUGCUUAUCAAGGAAAUCAAGAUUUGGACCUACAACGGAAAGAAAUCGAUUAAGGGAUGAUUAUGUCCUUUUUACCUUUGUGGUAUCAAGAUUGUUGACUUCAGUUACCUGCUCGGGUUGGAGUUCGCUAGAGAUAUUAUCACACUGUCGAGCUAACACUAUGGGUGUAGUGAUUUCAAAUACUUUGAGUCUAUGGCAUGUAUAGGUGUGUAAAUAUUAGAGUAUGUGAUCUGGCUUUAACCAUAUGUGUUGGCCUGUUUUGAUUAUAGGGUUGUAAAUCCAUUUUAAUUAUGCAUGAAUGUGCUAUGGUAUUACGUGAUGAGUUUAUAAUGAUUAAAGCAUGAAUUUUCCAA